RNAcentral lists this ribosomal RNA (490 nucleotides) under uncultured bacterium. RNAcentral describes it as "partial 16S ribosomal RNA". It matches the Rfam family "Bacterial small subunit ribosomal RNA", at positions 355 to 861 of the family's 1533-position model. The record is from RNAcentral.
UGGGGAAUAUUGCACAAUGGGCGAAAGCCUGAUGCAGCAACGCCGCGUGAGUGAUGAAGGUCUUCGGAUUGUAAAGCUCUGUCUUUUGGGACGAUAAUGACGGUACCAAAGGAGGAAGCCACGGCUAACUACGUGCCAGCAACCGCGGUAAUACGUAGGUGGCGAGCGUUGUCCGGAUUUACUGGGCGUAAAGGGUGCGUAGGCGGAUGUUUAAGUGAGAUGUGAAAUACCCGGGCUUAACUUGGGUGCUGCAUUUCAAACUGGAUAUCUAGAGUGCAGGAGAGGAGAAUGGAAUUCCUAGUGUAGCGGUGAAAUGCGUAGAGAUUAGGAAGAACACCAGUGGCGAAGGCGAUUCUCUGGACUGUAACUGACGCUGAGGCACGAAAGCGUGGGUAGCAAACAGGAUUAGAUACCCUGGUAGUCCACGCCGUAAACGAUGAGUACUAGGUGUAGGAGGUAUCGACCCCUUCUGUGCCGCAGUAAACACAUU